Molecule: unclassified non-coding RNA, 263 nt
Filed under: plant metagenome
Description: partial contains small subunit ribosomal RNA, internal transcribed spacer 1, and 5.8S ribosomal RNA
Source: RNAcentral
UUUCCGUAGGUGAACCUGCGGAAGGAUCAUUAUUGUAUAACCGAGGUGCGAGAGCUGUCGCUGACUCGAAUGAUCGUGCACGCCCGAGUGCCCUCACAGUCAUCCAUCUCACCCCUAUGUGCACCCCCGCGUGCGUCCCCAUUUGGCUCGUUCGGAGGGGGGCUUACGUUUUCUCACAAUCUUUGUAUGUAGUGCAGAAUGUAUUUUUUGUUUUUGCGGUCACGCAAUCAAUACAACUUUCAACAACGGAUCUCUUGGCUCUC